CUUGACAUCUUAACCGGCAUGGCGCAACCACGGAUUAAUUAUUAAAAAAAAAAAAAAAAAACAAAAGACGCCAUUUUUUCGAAUUUGGCUCCGAUAUUAAACGACAAACUAGCGUAAAUGAGAUUCUAGGGGUAUUUCCUCCUCUUAUCGCUCUUUCCUACUAAAACUGAAGGGGGAGCCACUCGAGGAGAGAGAGAUCAGCCAGUCGUGUGAACUGAUGGUGCAUCAAAUAAGUGACAUUCUUAUUUCCGUCUUGUCGUCACCUUAUGCUUUACUCAUUACCAUCUUCAGUCCGAAACCUUUCACUCAUUUCCAAAACACAAGUGUAGUGUAUGUGUGUGUGUGCGCGCACACUAGGGGGAGAAGAGGGAGAACAAUUUUUUUUUUCCUCCUGUGUCUUUCCCUGUCUCCCGCGUGAGAGACAGAAGAGGUCGUUAAGAUUUUAAAAUGAAAAUGUAACGACUAAAUAAUUUAGAUUUUCUCGAGAAGUGUUAAACGCGUCGUUUGUAGGGAAAAGCGAAUGUUUUGUGCGUGUAUGUGUAUGUGUUAGUGCAUCGCGCGCUUGGUGUGUAAAAGAAGCAAACUUGAAUCUAAUCGGAUAGUCUGCAGUUUUGCCUUUAAAUGUAAACAGAUGACAGACUGGAAAUGGAGAGCAUUUGUACCUGUCAGACACGUUUCUGCACAUAUUGAAAACCUUGGGUAGUUUUUGACAGAGAGAGAGAAUUCCAUACGUCAAUCUAAAUCUAUGUCUAAUCGAAAUGGAGCUUGUAAAUCUGAUUUUGAAGUCACGAGAAGAUGUAGCUCCUGCUGCUCCUGCUGCUGCUGUUGUUGCUGUUGCUACUACCACUACAACUACCACCACUGUCGUCGCUGCUGCUGUUUUGCUGCAUAUCCCACCGACGAGAAAGAUUUCCACCAAAAAGUUUAUAUGGAGGAUAUUCGUUAUUGAAUCACAUUUGAUUUCCUACAUCCUUAUAAACGAAAUUUUUCUCCUGGCAACGGGGGGGAGAAAAUUCCGUUUAAUGAAAUUUUUCUGAUAUCGACAAUAAUUCAUUACUCCCAAUUUUUUCUUUUUUUUUUGAGUGUUUCCUGCCAACGAUAUUUCAGCAAAAAUAUAUGUUCGUUCUAUUUCGUGGUUUAAUCGAAUGGCAAUUAAUACUCGAUUGUCGUACUACUAUAGCAACAAUCGUCGAUGC
This 1196-nucleotide long non-coding RNA is filed under the name Androctonus crassicauda. The record is from RNAcentral. Lineage: Eukaryota; Metazoa; Arthropoda; Arachnida; Scorpiones; Buthidae.